Molecule: ribosomal RNA, 253 nt
Filed under: uncultured bacterium
Lineage: Bacteria
Description: partial 16S ribosomal RNA
Rfam family: Bacterial small subunit ribosomal RNA
Source: RNAcentral
UACGGGGGGGGCAAGCGUUGUUCGGAAUUACUGGGCGUAAAGGGCUCGUAGGCGGCCAACUAAGUCGGAUGUGAAAUCCCCAGGCUUAACCUGGGAACUGCAUCCGAUACUGGAUGGCUUGAAUCCGGGAGAGGGAUGCGGAAUUCCAGGUGUAGCGGUGAAAUGCGUAGAUAUCUGGAGGAACACCGGUGGCGAAGGCGGCAUCCUGGACCGGCAUCGACGCUGAGGAGCGAAAGCCAGGGGAGCAAACGGG